CGAAAUGAGAUUUGCAGAGAAAAAGGGAGGCGAUUCGCGUUGCAGAUUAAUAUGCAACAAAUUUUCAUUGAGCUAAACUUCGAUUCAUAUUUGCAGGUUAUCAAGCAUGUGUCGUAAGGUCAUGUACGCCAUUUUGUAUUAUUGUGAUCAACAUAGACAAAGAGGGUAUUACACCAUACCAAUAUAGAUUGAUUUUUGUUGGUAAACAACUUGAAGAUGCGCAUAUUAGAUGAUUACAAUAUCCAGGAAGAAUCGACUAUGCGUCUUGUUUUGAACAUACAAGGAAGAAUUAUUUAACCGUAUUUGAUGGCUUUGGCUAUGACAAGAUGAUCCGUCGCAAGUUGAAGAUUAUGAAGUUGAUAUGUCUAAGAACGGAUAAAAUCUUUAUGGAUAGUCUCAUAUCCAUGACUCCACCUGUAAGAUGAAGAAAUCAGCACAUCAAAAUUACUUGGGAGAAACAAAAAAGACAUAUGACGUCCCCUCCUUGAUGAUUUACUAUUCUUUUUGCUUACGAUUUAGUAGUUUCUGUUUUCAUGAGUUAUGUUUUUUUUUCCUAGCUUGUUA
Long non-coding RNA from Papaver somniferum (opium poppy), 564 nucleotides. RefSeq lists it as uncharacterized. The record is from RefSeq and is a predicted model, not a curated record. NCBI's taxonomy places the organism in Eukaryota, Viridiplantae, Streptophyta, Magnoliopsida, Ranunculales, Papaveraceae. The transcript has 4 exons.